Molecule: transfer RNA, 76 nt
Filed under: Bacteroides sp.
Lineage: Bacteria; Pseudomonadati; Bacteroidota; Bacteroidia; Bacteroidales; Bacteroidaceae
Also listed under: 3 other names
Description: tRNA-Thr
Rfam family: tRNA
About the family: Transfer RNA (tRNA) molecules are approximately 80 nucleotides in length. Their secondary structure includes four short double-helical elements and three loops (D, anti-codon, and T loops).
Source: RNAcentral
GCUGAUAUAGCUCAGUUGGUAGAGCGCAUCCUUGGUAAGGAUGAGGUCAUCGGUUCAAAUCCGAUUAUCAGCUCCA